UACUUUGCGCCGAGGCAAUAUCGUAACCAAUGAGGUUAAUCCGAGGUGCGAUUAUUGCUACUUGAAAACUGGAUCCUGUCUAGCACGUCUUUUACGACAGUGUAAAGAUUCUGAGAUGAUAAGUAUUUAAUUUGAUCAGUACA
This 143-nucleotide small nuclear RNA is filed under the name Melitaea cinxia (Glanville fritillary). Its description in RNAcentral is "misc RNA ENSMCXG00005023190.1". It matches the Rfam family "U4 spliceosomal RNA". Rfam says of the family: U4 small nuclear RNA (U4 snRNA) is a component of the major U2-dependent spliceosome. The structure of U4 snRNA from yeast and human has been reported. The record is from RNAcentral. Lineage: Eukaryota; Metazoa; Arthropoda; Insecta; Lepidoptera; Nymphalidae.